This 480-nucleotide ribosomal RNA is filed under the name Pigmentiphaga sp. TW19E. Its description in RNAcentral is "bacterial SSU rRNA". It matches the Rfam family "Bacterial small subunit ribosomal RNA", at positions 37 to 514 of the family's 1533-position model. The record is from RNAcentral. Lineage: Bacteria; Pseudomonadati; Pseudomonadota; Betaproteobacteria; Burkholderiales; Alcaligenaceae.
UAUCGGGCUGACUUACCAUGCAGUCGAACGGCAGCGCGGACUUCGGUCUGGCGGCGAGUGGCGAACGGGUGAGUAAUGCAUCGGAACGUGCCCAGUAGCGGGGGAUAACUACGCGAAAGCGUAGCUAAUACCGCAUACGCCCUACGGGGGAAAGGGGGGGAUCGCAAGACCUCUCACUAUUGGAGCGGCCGAUGUCGGAUUAGCUAGUUGGUGGGGUAAAGGCCUACCAAGGCGACGAUCCGUAGCUGGUUUGAGAGGACGACCAGCCACACUGGGACUGAGACACGGCCCAGACUCCUACGGGAGGCAGCAGUGGGGAAUUUUGGACAAUGGGGGCAACCCUGAUCCAGCCAUGCCGCGUGUGCGAAGAAGGCCUUCGGGUUGUAAAGCACUUUUGGCAGGAAAGAAACGGCGCCGGAUAAUACCUGGCGUAACUGACGGUACCUGCAGAAUAAGCACCGGCUAACUACGUGCCAGACC